GUGCUAAAGAUAUCGGACUUAUCCAUAAUCGUUUUUGUAGAUUUGUGUUAAAAUUGGGUCGAAAUGUACCAACAUGCUUUUUAUAUGGCGAACUUAGCCAUUUACCUCUUUUUAUUGUUAGAAAACAAAAGAUAUUGAAAUAUUGGUUACAUAUUAUUACAAAUAAACCAAAAGUUGUAUACGAUGUGUAUAAACUCUUGUAUGACGAUGCUAUCAAUGGUUAUGUAAACUGGGCCUCAAAUAUUCGUGAUAUGUUAUAUGAUCUUGGUUUAAAUUAUUUAUGGCUAAACCAAGAUGCUAGCACAAUUUGUAUAAAUAACAU
This 322-nucleotide long non-coding RNA is filed under the name Mytilus galloprovincialis (Mediterranean mussel). The record is from RNAcentral. Lineage: Eukaryota; Metazoa; Mollusca; Bivalvia; Mytilida; Mytilidae.